This 200-nucleotide long non-coding RNA is filed under the name Elaeis guineensis (African oil palm). RNAcentral's name for it is "long non-coding RNA (EGUI_LNC036533)". Lineage: Eukaryota; Viridiplantae; Streptophyta; Magnoliopsida; Arecales; Arecaceae. The record is from RNAcentral.
UUGCUUCACUUCUGGAUCCAUGCCAAUUUCUCCAUAUCUAAUUGGAUUUGGAUUGUGAUUUUUGGUAUCAUGAUAGUGGAUCUAAUAAGGGUGGGUGGCUAUAGCUGAUGAGUCAUAAUAUUAUCUCUUGUUUAAUUCAAAUGCGAUCCGAAUUAGAGAUAAGAGGUAAACUAAGAAAGAGAUUUUUUGUAUAUGGAAUA